GGUCGUAUGGUGUAGUUGGUUAUCACGUCAGUCUAACACUGAAGGUCUCCAGAUCGAACCUGGAUAUGAUGA
Podospora didyma is the source of this 72-nucleotide non-coding RNA. The record is from the annotation of a GenBank genome assembly. NCBI's taxonomy places the organism in Eukaryota, Fungi, Ascomycota, Sordariomycetes, Sordariales, Podosporaceae.